UGGAAAAAAGUGUGGAGGAAGAUUAAAAUAAAGCAGAAAGAUAAACUCACUCAGGUUCCCUGCGAAGACCACGUCUAGCUGUUUGAUCAGAAUCUCUGCUUUGAGACAAAACGGGGUAAUGAACUUGGGAGAAGAAAGGGCUGCUGCUACUCACAAUUCCUUGAGGGUAUUGUAGCCUAAGUUAUCUUUGAAAGAUACACAUAUGAUCAUGUCAAGCCCUGCUUGAAACACUUCAGAGGCAUCCAUAGCAGGGAACAAAGUCCAUAUGAAGAUACAGUGAGAAGGCAAGAAGGCAUUCAUCUGCAAGCCAGGAAGAGAGCCCUUACCAGAAACCAAACGCUGUGAGAACUUGAUCUUGGAAUUCCCAGCCUCCAGAGCUGUGAGAAAAUAAAUUUCUGUUGUCUAAGCCACACAGUCUGUAGUAUACUGUAAUGUACUGUUAUGGCAGCCUGAGCAGAUUACGACAGGUGUCAAAGAGGACUUCAGCCUUAGCUGAAAUGUUAGAUGUAACAUUUUAAUGUUUUAGAAUGAGAAUGUAUUUAUGUAUGACUCAUGUGAUUAGAACAUUAACUUCUUAAAGUCAACUUUCUCUUCCCUCUUCCCCCAUAAUCGCCCUUUUUUCCUUUAUCUUCCUUUGAGCAAUAUUAAUCAAGGCCUGUGGCAGACAUAUACAUUCUGAGCCUUCCAGCAACAUUUUUCAAAAAGACCUGUCUUCAGGUCAAGGUCCCUAAAAAUAAAUCUUCUCACCACAGAACACAGGGGUGUGUUUAUUUAGUUUUGUUUAAUAAAAUAUUUAUUGAACUCUUAUUGAAGUUCAAUUAACUUUAUUCAUUAUAAGAUAAUAUUAUACUAACACUGUCACAAAUUUAAAGACAAGACAAUUUCCUCAUUACACCUCCACUGGAAACACAACCAUGAUUUCCAUUUUUAGGCAUUCCUUUCUAGGCUAUCUAUACGCUUACCGUUUUGUUUUUUUUUUUUUGGCAGUCAUCAAAUGGUUUAUAUAAUUUUGUACAUAUCUUUUUUCACAGCAUAAAACCUUUAUAAUUGCCAUUUUAAUGGUUACUCAACAUUUUAUUCAGUUUUAAUUGACUUAUCUAUUCCCGUGUGGUUGACAUCUAGGCCAUUUCCAACUUUUUAUUAUAGAUAAUGUUGAAUAAACAUUUUCACAUACAUGAAUUUUAAAAUUUGAGUUAUUUCCUUAAAAUAAAUUCUUCGGGGUAUUACUAAACCACAUGAUACAAGCAGAUUUUAUGACUAUUGAUCAAAAUUAUUCAAUAGAGUUCCAAAGCUUCGUGCCAAUUAAUAAUGCCACCAGCAAUGUGCAAAUAUACUGCAUUUUCAGCAUUGAUUAUACAAUGUCAAGGUUUUUGGCAAUGUAAAAACUUUGGAGGGGAAUGCCUCAGAUCAUCUAAGACUACUUGGUAAGCUGAUUGAAAACCAUAGAAUUACAUAAAAGGACAUGGAUUAUCUUUCCCAGCUCAGCGUCCAUCCCCUUUCUCUAGGAACUGCACCUUGAGGUCUUCCGCUCUCUCAAUCCAUGUGGUUUGACAGGACUCCAGUCCCACCCUCAAAUUUAAGAAUUCAACCUGUGACCCAGGUUGGUCACGGGUCUUUCUUUCUCCCUCUCUCUUCCUCAAUUUAUCUCUCUCUCACACACACUCGGGGCAGGGGGUAGAUCCAAAAACAAACAAAGCAGAGCCAAGAGGAAAGAGUAAGUCCUGGUGACAGUGUUUGAGUCCCUUGAUCCAGCUGGCAAUGAUGCCAGACUACCCUGGGAUUCAGGGCCACUAUGUAGAGUUGAGCCAAUUGUGAACUGCAAAGCAUUCCCAGCCAAAGGGGUAAGUGGCUGCUGAAAUCUGUUGUGUGCAUCUGGGAGGAAGGGUGUGUCUAUUCAGAGAAAGAGACUUGUUUAUUGUUUUGUUUUGUUAUUUGUUUGUUUCAUUUUGUUUUGUUUUAUUUUUCAUUAAAGGUUCCCAUUGCUUGCCAAGCCAAAUGCUCACUCAGGAGCCCUUUUUUCUAUUCUCAGAAGGUGCUAUGCAGGCUGCCAGUAGCUUUGCAGUUAUGUGAAACAAUAAAUCUCCCCUCUUAACUGAA
Molecule: long non-coding RNA, 2097 nt
Organism: Cebus imitator (Panamanian white-faced capuchin)
Lineage: Eukaryota; Metazoa; Chordata; Mammalia; Primates; Cebidae
Exons: 3
Source: RefSeq, a predicted model, not a curated record